Molecule: long non-coding RNA, 379 nt
Filed under: Mus pahari (shrew mouse)
Lineage: Eukaryota; Metazoa; Chordata; Mammalia; Rodentia; Muridae
Description: lncRNA (MGP_PahariEiJ_G0005358.1)
Source: RNAcentral
CCUCACCUCCUGCCGGCCUCUCUGCUAGCCCUCCCCGCCCCAGGGGGGGUGGGUGGGAGGCCUUGAGAUUGUCCCCGGUACCCCAAGGACGCCGAGGUUACGGGAAGUUUGGGAACCCGGGCCCCAGUAUCCCGAGUUCUUCCAGGAGAGGGAAGACAGCAAAGACAGUGAGGGAGAGAGCAGACAUCUGUCUCUGGGGUGCUUAUCUGUGUGGAAGAGACCGGUCCUUCCUGAUUGGCUUCAUGUCCCUCAAGAUCCCAAGAAGGCUGUGGCCAAUGUCCCUAUUUCAAAGCCAGAGAAUAGGGGCAGAGACUCAGCAGCCUGCUCCUGGGUGCGAAGAGACAAGGUCAGGUGCAGCCUAUGCUCACAGUCUUGGAAG